RNAcentral lists this ribosomal RNA (188 nucleotides) under Microbacterium sp. TL13. Its description in RNAcentral is "partial 23S ribosomal RNA". The record is from RNAcentral. Lineage: Bacteria; Bacillati; Actinomycetota; Actinomycetes; Micrococcales; Microbacteriaceae.
AUUAGCUACKUUCGGGAUGGAUAACCGCUGAAAGCAUCUAAGCGGGAAGCCGGCCUCAAGAUGAGACUUCCAUACCAUUUAUGGUGAGAGGCUCCCAGCCAGACUACUGGGUUGAUAGGCCGGAUGUGGAAGCGUAGUAAUACGUGAAGCUGACCGGUACUAAUAAGCCGAUGACUUGAUAACACACC